AUUGAACGCUGGCGGCAUGCCUUACACAUGCAAGUCGAACGGUAACAGGUCUUCGGAUGCUGACGAGUGGCGAACGGGUGAGUAAUAUAUCGGAACGUGCCCAGUCGUGGGGGAUAACGCAGCGAAAGCUGUGCUAAUACCGCAUACGAUCUAUGGAUGAAAGCGGGGGAUCGCAAGACCUCGCGCGAUUGGAGCGGCCGAUAUCAGAUUAGGUAGUUGGUGGGGUAAAGGCCCACCAAGCCAACGAUCUGUAGCUGGUCUGAGAGGACGACCAGCCACACUGGAACUGAGACACGGUCCAGACUCCUACGGGAGGCAGCAGUGGGGAAUUUUGGACAAUGGGCGCAAGCCUGAUCCAGCAAUGCCGCGUGCAGGAUGAAGGCCUUCGGGUUGUAAACUGCUUUUGUACGGAACGAAAAGGCUCUGGUUAAUACCUGGGGCUCAUGACGGUACCGUAAGAAUAAGCACCGGCUAACUACGUG
RNAcentral lists this ribosomal RNA (482 nucleotides) under uncultured bacterium. RNAcentral describes it as "bacterial SSU rRNA". It matches the Rfam family "Bacterial small subunit ribosomal RNA", at positions 30 to 507 of the family's 1533-position model. The record is from RNAcentral.